UACGUAGGUGACGAGCGUUGUCCGGAUUUACUGGGCGUAAAGAGCGCGCAGGCGGUCGUAUAAGUCGAGUGUGAAAGCCCCCGGCUCAACUGGGGAGGGUCGCUCGAUACUAUUCGACUCGAAGGUGGGAGAGGGAAGCAGAAUUCCCGGUGUAGUGGUGAAAUGCGUAGAUAUCGGGAGGAAUACCAGUGGCGAAGGCGGCUUCCUGGCCCAUUCUUGACGCUGAGGCGCGAAAGCUAGGGGAGCAAACGGG
This 253-nucleotide ribosomal RNA is filed under the name uncultured bacterium. Its description in RNAcentral is "partial 16S ribosomal RNA". It matches the Rfam family "Bacterial small subunit ribosomal RNA", at positions 524 to 776 of the family's 1533-position model. The record is from RNAcentral.